GGGGCGAUAGUUCAGCUUGGUAGAAUGUCGGUCUCGGGCACCGAUGGUCUUGGGUUCAAAUCCCAAUCGCCCCA
RNAcentral lists this transfer RNA (74 nucleotides) under Candidatus Nanoarchaeia archaeon. Its description in RNAcentral is "tRNA-Pro". It matches the Rfam family "tRNA". Rfam says of the family: Transfer RNA (tRNA) molecules are approximately 80 nucleotides in length. Their secondary structure includes four short double-helical elements and three loops (D, anti-codon, and T loops). Lineage: Archaea; Nanobdellati; Nanobdellota; Candidatus Nanoarchaeia. The record is from RNAcentral. RNAcentral also lists the same sequence under 1 other name.